GGCGCCCGUCUCGGGGGCAGGUCCGCGGGGUGUGACGAAUGUUCCCGCGGCGUCUCCCCGCCCUCCCCGGCGCCUCCCCCGGCCUCGGGCAGCCGCUUUCUGCACGGCACCUCCGAAGCCGCUGGGCGUCUGUAACCAACCUGCACGUUGUGCGCAUGUGCCCCAGAAAUUAAAGUAGAAUAAACAACAACAAAACCAAAAGACCUUUUUACUUUGACGCAGUUUUAGAUUCCCAGGACGUUGCACAGAAAAUCCGGACGGAUCCUGUGCCCUCCGCCCAGCUCCCGGGGUCACAGGCAGCCUCGGCUCCGACCCCGCCGGGCGCGCGGUGACCGGCUGUGCGGGUUCCAGGGGCGGAUGUGCGCUUUGCCCGGCCCCUCUCCCGCCGCGCGGCCGCUCCUCCUCUCCGCCAAGGGCCGGUUCAGGCACAGGCCCCGCCGAGGCUGCCCCUGACUUGAGGGCUCACGCACCGGGCUGCUUGCGGCUCUGGACUAUUGUGAAUAAGGCCGGUGUGAGUAUUUUACUGUAAGUCUUUGGGGACGUGUCUUCAUGCCCCUUGGGUGAAUCCAGGUGUGAGAUUGCCGGGCCGGGGUGCUGUGAGUUACCUUUGGUUAUAGGGAGGUGGUGACCCAUGGUGGCUCCAAGUGCCCGUGGCCUUUCGUGACCCCGCCAGCAGCGGGUGGGCCUUUGGGGCGCUCCGAGGCUCGCCCGUGCUGCCCGUGGGUGCUUCAGCCAGUCCGGCCGCCGUGGCUUUCCUCUGCAGCCCCCGGUGCCUGCUGGCGUCGUGCCUUUCCGUGUGCUCGUUGGCCACGCACAUGUCGAGGGGCCGUUCUGACGAUGGACUGAGGGGCUCGGGGAUAGCACGUGUCCAGCGGGGCAGGUCAGCCUUUCUCUUCUCCCCACAGACCUCAGCACAGCUCUGCACCUCGGAGGACUCGGGGAAGUUUCUGGGCCUAUUUGGGCAAUAGGAGAAGGUCAUGGGCUGUCUUUCCAAAAUUCACGUCCACCCAGAACCCCCGAAUGAGACCUAUUUAAAGAGAAGGCCUUAGCUGAUGGAACAUUAAGAUGAGGCCACCCUGGAGCAGGGUGGGCCCUGAAUCCGAGGCUGCUGUCCCUGCAAGGUGACGAGAGGGUGCAGGCGUGGAGGAGACACAUGGGGGUGGGGUGAGGAACAGGCCACCGGCAGCAGAGACGGGUCAGGCCCAGCGAGGGAGGAGGUGGGAGGAGCCCCGGAGCCCUCGGAGGAAGCCGGGCUGGCACCUGGGCCUUGGACUCUGGGACUGUGAGGGAAUCAAUUCUGCCAUCUGAAGCCACCUGCUGUGGUCCUGUGUUACAGCAGCGCUGGGCACAAACAUGGGAGGGCCUCGUGAUUGGGACUGGGGCAUUCACAGGCCCGGCAGGCUGGUGAGCCGGUGCCUGGCAGGUGGGGAGGACAUGGUGUGAGAGGCGGCCUGCGGGCCGGCCAGUGAGCUCCAGCACGGGGACUGGUCACCAGCCAGUGAGCUCCAGCACGGGGACUGGUCACCGGACAGCAGUGUCAGCGUGGACGGUGAUCCCUCUAGAAGCCCUCCUUGUGUCUCGGGCCGGAAGCUAGGCACUGCACGCGCUCGGGAAUGGGCCGCUGCUGUGAGGGAGAGCGCCCGCUGUGCAGUGGGUGUCAAAUGAAUAUUAAUAAACAAAAGAGCCAAUUAUCCUUCGUUGCAGACAAGUUUCUUUGCAGAAAAUUUAGGAAAUACAAGAAGCAAAUAAAAAAAUCAAAACCACCCAGGAAUAUAACAGUUAUGAUGUGCUUUUUUCCUAAUCUUCAAAGCAAAGCUUUGGAGCCUGUAUUAUUUCUUGUUUGAAUUAAAUGCAGUUCAGAAGGAGAAAGUAAUUUCCCCAAAGCUGCCCAGUGAGGAGAGGGCGCCCAGGUGUGUCUGCUGCUGCCCCUCUCUGCAGACCCCAGAGCUGUCCCUGCAGCCCUCUCAGAGGGGGCCCCCGCCCUGGAGUCUGCCCUUCACCUUCCCCUUGCUUCGACCAGAGCUAAACUUGCCUGUGAUGACGAGGGAGUGUUUGGGAGACCCCCACGCUCUGUGUGGUUGGGCCCCUGGUCAACACCAGCCCGGCCUGCACCCCUGCUGGGGCCCUUCGAGGCUGCCCCGCUCCUGGGGACAGGCCCCCCCCGCAUGCUGCUUCCUGUAGGACCCACUCUUGAAGUCGGUCUGAGCCAUAAAUGAGACUCAUCAGGCAAUGGGCAUUUUUAUUAGAGGCAAAAUUAAAUUCGGAUGCCCAGGAUCUCUAUCAAGAGCAGAGAAAGGAGAAGAAUGACGUGUGUAUUUGUUCACUGCUUCCACCAGGAGCGCCUGCUCCCGCACCGGCCGCUCCGAGCCCCGGUCAUCGGGCUGGGGGAGUGCCUGCACCCGUACUGGCUGCUCCGAGCCCCUGUCGAGGGGCUGGGCCAGGUGAGGCGGAGCAGCCAUAGGCUUCCCUCAGUGGGAGGGAACACUCACCUCCCUGAAGGGUGGGAGUUCUACUGAGGAUUCGAGAGUAAUUUUCCAGGUGUCAGGUUUUCUGUGGGAUCCUGUGUGGGCUAUGAACCAGCCAGCUUUGACUUGCCUGUCAAUUUGCCUAAUGAAUUGGUGUGUGAGCGAGCCGAGUUUGCACCUGCCAUCCUCUUGGUCUAAACUACAGGCACUGCACGUUGCAAGAUAAGGGACGUUGCACAUCCUUCACCUGGGAAACUUCUGGACUCCUAACUUCACCUGGGAAACUUCUGGACUCCUGUGAGUCUGGCUGGGGGUGGGGGGGGUCCCUGGCAAGCCACUCACUUUUGGGGCCUCACUCACUGCCCGUGUUUUGCCUCCAUGAUCUUAGAAUUUUGGCAAGAUCUGGACUAGACAGAGGGCUGAGGCUUGGGCUGGGGUUGGGAGAAUUCUCUGCUGAGAACAGAGAAACUGGGACCCCUCAGGGCUUCUUACAGGAACAGGAAGCAACGACUGGGGAGUCCCAGAGGAAGGCGUUGAGCAGAGGGGCCGUGUGGUGGGUGGGCACCCCAGCAGGCAGGGUGCUGGGGGAGGAACAUGAGCCCCUGCGGGCUUUGGAAAGAGCAGUGAAGUACAGCCCCAUUGCCUCUGCCCAGGGCUAGCGGAAAGUGAAGUGUUCCCAGCCCCAUUGCCUCUGCCCAGGGCUAGCGGAAAGUGAAGUGUUCCCAGCCCCAUUGCCUCUGCCCAGGGCUAGCGGACAGUGACGUGUCCCCGCAGGCUGAACUCCGACUGGUGACAACGGGUCAGCGUCCUCACUCCCUGGAGACUCGGAGCCUGGACUUGCCAAAUUUGGCACCUGCCCAUUUUUUUUUUUUUUCUUUGAGAUGGAGUAUCACUCUGUUGCCCAGGCUGGAGUGCUGUGGCUCGAUCUCGGCUCACUGCAACCUCCACCUCCCAGGUUCAAGCUAUAUUCUGCCUCAGCCUGCUGAGUAGCUGGGAUUACAGGUGCCUGCCACCAUGCCCAGCUAAUUUUUGUAUUUUUAGUAGAGAUGGGAUUUCACCUUAGCCAGGAUGGUCUCAAUCUCCUGACCUCAGAUGAUCCACCCACCUCAGCCUCCCAAAGUGCUGGGAUUAUAGGCGUGAACCACCGUGCCUGGCCUUUUAAAAAAAAAAUUUUAGAUUCAUGGGUACAUGUGUGGGUUUGUUAUGUGGGUAUAUAGCUUGAUGCUGAGGUUUUGGCUUCUAACGAUCCCAUCACCCAGGGAGUGAACGCAGCUCCCAACAGGUGGUUUUCCAGCCCUCGUCCUCGUCCUCCUCCCCCUCCCACCUGCCCCUCUGGAGUCCCUGGCGUCUGCUAUUCCCUCUCUGCGUCAUGUGCAUGCAGCAUUCAGCUCCCAUGGAUAAGUGAGAACACGUGGUUUUGGUUUUCUGUUCGGGUUGAGUUCUCAGGCUGACGGCCUCCAGCUGCAUGUGUGGCUGCAGGGGACGUGCUCUCCUCCAUUUUCCCGGCUGCAUCGAGUUCAUGGUCUGUCUGCACACGUGAGGCCACCUGCCAGGCCACAUCCCAGCACAGGCGUCAUCCAGUGAUUUCCUCAUCGGCCAGAGUCUGCGUCUGCAGCUUUGUGAGCCACGCGGCCAUGGCCUGACUCUGUGCCGAGAGCCCCGCAGCGGUGGCCACAGACAAUAGAUGGAGUGCACUGGUGUGAUCUCAGCUCAACCUCCGCAUCCCAGGCUCAGGUGAUCCUCCUGCCUCAGCCUCCCGAGCAGCUGGGAAUACGGGCAUGCCCCACCAUGCCCGGCUAAUUUUUGUAUUUUUUGUAGCGACAGGGUUUCGCCACGCUGCCCAGACUGGUCUCAAUUCCUGGGCUUAAGUGAUCUGUCUGCCUUGGCCUCCCAUCGUGCUGAGAUGACAGGCGUGAGCCACUGCACCCGGCCCAGGCUGUUUUCAAUUCCCCGUGUUCUGCUACCUUCCAGGUGGGGCGGGCUGGGAGGCCUCUUCUAGAGGGGCCCUCAGGCUGCUCCAAGCCCUGGAAUGCAGCCCUGGUGGCCUCAGAACACCCCAGCAGGCUGGACCCGUGCCUCUGCCCCAGGGUGUAGGGUCCGGGUGGCCUGGGGUCGUCCCCUUGGGAGCUGCAUGGGUGGCCGCUGCUACUCCUACCUGGGAGGACAUCCCGUGGCAGGGGUAGAGGAUCGCCCGGUCGCCGUCCUCCGCUCCCUGGUCCAGACAGUAGGCACUGGCUUUGCUGUUUCUCACCUGCAAGCAGAAGCCCCAGGAGAAAGUCCAGAGUCACCCGAGGGUGCGGCCCCAGGGAGCUUCACGCAGCCAGCUCUGCAGCCAGCACCUAAGGAGGAACCCUGACAGCCCUCUGAGAACAAGCCCGGGCCAGACUGCUGGGGGAUGUGUUGUCAUCGGGCAGCCAACCUCCAGCCUCCAGAACAGGCCCAUCGGAGAUCAGCACAGCCUGGAUCAGGCCAGCAGCACUGCCUGGGUGGCCCCGGCUCGUGAGCAAGUGUAGAUGCUUAUUGCUUUUGUCCACCGCGUCUCCAGGCUGCUGGGUUUGCAGCAGCAGCUGACCCAUCCACCACGGCCACCACGAGAGGUCACACAGGUACCACUUGAAGCUGCGACACUUCAGCCUCUGACGCAGGGCCAGCCUCUCAGACACGUCCCCGAAGUCCACCCCUGGGUUCUGCAAGGCCAGAAGUAGGUGAGAGGAGGGUCUGAGGCAGCUGCUCCUGAUGGGAAGGACCCUGCCAGAGGCCAGCCCCGGCCUGGACAGACGGCCCCUGCUGCAGCCGGCUCGUCCACACCCACCCGGGCCCAGGAACCUCCUGCCUGAGAAGACGGCCCUGCUCACCUGGCCUUACUGCACGGCAUCAGCCUGACCUCUGGAGGGUGGAGACUGAGGUCAGCCAUAUCCAGAGACCAGCCUGGCCUGAGUAGGACAGAAAGGCCGAGGCAGGGAGUGUUCACACACUCUGCUCGAUUCGGGCUGGGACGUGGGUCCUCCCCUGCCUUCAGGCUUGGAGCUCACGCCACCGGCUCUCCUGGGCGCCUGCCAGCCGACGGCCAAUCUCGGUACCCUCAGCCCCCGUAACCGGGACAGAUCCAGAGUCCGGGGCAGGAGGGAGCCGCUCCCUCCUCGCCGAGAUGACCACACAGCACGCAGCUAACGCCAGGCUCCCUGACCCCGG
This 5657-nucleotide long non-coding RNA is filed under the name Homo sapiens (human). RNAcentral's name for it is "HSALNT0371905". Lineage: Eukaryota; Metazoa; Chordata; Mammalia; Primates; Hominidae. The record is from RNAcentral.